Long non-coding RNA from Setaria italica (foxtail millet), 1040 nucleotides. RefSeq lists it as uncharacterized. The transcript has 4 exons. Lineage: Eukaryota; Viridiplantae; Streptophyta; Magnoliopsida; Poales; Poaceae. The record is from RefSeq and is a predicted model, not a curated record.
CUUGGAAGGAUCCGGUGGUGAGUUGGGGUCGGCGGGGUCGGAAUGGAGACCAGCGGAGAGGGGUCGGGUCUCAGGGGUUGGGACCGAUCUGGAGGUUGAUCACUUAGGCUUGGAAAGCUAAGACAGGUGAUCAGGGGCUCGGAUUAGGAUUAACUCGGAAGAUUUGGGGUCGGUCGUCACAGAGUGGACUUCGUACAACAGAAGAACAUGCUGAAAGCAAGAGCCCUGAGCGAAGAAACUACCAGGAAGGCUAUGAAAAUCGCCGAGAACCCCCAUCACUUGGGUGCGAGAGGGUACGCGGCCAAGAUCGCUAAAUGGAGGAGAGAGGAAGAAGAACGGCGGUUAGCUAGUUUACCAAAUUUGUUUAAAGGCUUGGAUGAGCGCAGCAGGAAUUACUAUUUAUAAACUUGGUGCUAAUUAAUGCCAUAUAUAAUAAAAUUAUUCUAAUAUCAUGCAAAGAUCACUGAAUUUGCAUCAUGAUUUACCCCCAGCUUGGAUCUGCAAUUAUCCUCGACUCUCUCAGAUAUACCAAAGAUAGUUACAAGGAAUUCCUAGACAUUGUACAAAAUGAGCAUAGGCUUUACGUACUAAAAGGCGGGGAAUGCCAUGAAAACAGGAAGAAAACAAUGAAAAUAAUAACACUCCCACAAGCAACCGCCCAGCUCUGUGCUAUGUGGAUAUUAAUUGUGCGAGUUCCUCAGAAAUAAUGGGAGGUACCGGACGAACCCCGAAGACAUGCCUAGGAUCGACACUUGCGAUACGACGCUUGAAGACAGAGGCACUAGGAUCGACACUUGCGAUACGACGCUUGAAGACAGAGGCAUCAUCAACAUUUGUAGGGACAUGGUGAGGUUCAUCCAACGGGAUAUUUAUCAUGAGGAUGGAGAAUUCUUUGAUCUAAAUGGAGUGUUGGCGGCGGACGAAUGCGAACGUCUUCGUAGCUGGACGAAGGCGCCACCGAUGUAGCUCUAUUCCAAUUGUUGAAUUAUGUGAAUUAUUUAUUAUUCAAGUUUGUUGAAUAAUGUGAAUUAUCUAUUAUG